CGCGACUGCCAGCUGAGGGAGGUACAGCGCUGCCUGGCGGCGGGCGGCCACAAGCUGCGCUGCAGGCGGCGAGUGAUAGAAGUUGGAAAAGAGGUCUCAACAUAAGCCCUGGUAAGAAGAAAGGACUGGCCUGCAUUUACUUCUGAAGAGUGGCUCCCACUUUGUAAAGACCUCGUCGCCUCAAGGUGAGGCUAAGAAGAGCAUUACCAGCGAGGAUGUGAACUUUCUGGUGUGUCGGUACCUCCAGGAAUCAGGUUUCUCCCACUGAGCCUUCACGUCUGGGAUCCAGAGCCACACCAGCCAGUCCAACAUCAGCGUGACAGUAGUGCUGCCGGCUACCCUCAUCUCCAGCCAGCAGAAGGGAAUGCAGUAUGUGGAGGCCGAGAUCAGCAUCAAGGAGGAUGGCACGGUGUUCCACAGCCGCCCCAUAGAGUCCCUGUCCCUGAUUGUCGCUGUGAUGCCCGGCGUGGUGCAGAUGCCACAGCAGACGUUUUCGCGCAGCCGCAGCAGCCGCCGCAGCCGCCGCAGCUGCCACCUGCAACCACAGCCACAACACGAUGGAGCAUGCUCAGAGGCCAUCUGCAGAUGCCAGAGGGCAUUAAUCCUUCUCAGACCUCGAAUUCGCCUCCACUUUGGUAUGUGAAUUUUGCAAGCCCAGAAAGACCAAGAGGUGCUCUGUUGAGUGUUGUGUUCCAGCUGUGGUACCUAAAUACUCAGCAAAGAAAGCCAAAGUUGCAUGGGGUCAACCUUGUCAUCACUGAACAG
RNAcentral lists this long non-coding RNA (765 nucleotides) under Marmota monax (woodchuck). The record is from RNAcentral. Lineage: Eukaryota; Metazoa; Chordata; Mammalia; Rodentia; Sciuridae.